CCCAGAUAACAUAAAUGCACACCCAACAUUAAAAGAACAUCAUAAAAAUACACUUUAACUAGGGCAGAAACCACCCAUAACCCUGAACAUUUUUUU
This is a long non-coding RNA of Etheostoma spectabile (orangethroat darter), 96 nucleotides long. RefSeq lists it as uncharacterized. NCBI's taxonomy places the organism in Eukaryota, Metazoa, Chordata, Actinopteri, Perciformes, Percidae. The transcript is spliced from 3 exons. The record is from RefSeq and is a predicted model, not a curated record.